This is an unclassified non-coding RNA of Cercocebus atys (sooty mangabey), 270 nucleotides long. Its record names the gene 7SK. It matches the Rfam family "7SK RNA". From Rfam's summary of the family: 7SK was discovered as an abundant small nuclear RNA in the mid-70s but a possible function has only recently been suggested. NCBI's taxonomy places the organism in Eukaryota, Metazoa, Chordata, Mammalia, Primates, Cercopithecidae. The record is from Ensembl.
AGAUGUGAAGAGGACCUAGUGGCAGCCUCUUUCCCCACUGCUAACCAGGGUUUAUUUAGCUGGUCUGACUGUCCAGACUGGGCUGCUCCUUUCUCCUUUACCAUUUCAGGCAAGUCCCUCCUGAAAUUGCAUUCCUAGCAGAAAAGGGUGACCUUCUCAGAAGAAGGUGGCUUUGCUCCUUUAAAGUGGGAGAACCGUCUUUGUGAAGCUCUGACUGACCACUGCAUCUGGAAAUGGAUGCCCAACUCUCCAAAUCUCUUUAAAGUUUUU